AAUAACUUCAUUUUUCGUUUUUCCGUGUCUAACGUUUGAUCAUUCGUUUUAUUUAAAAAAUUUAUGCAAAAACCUAAAAAAAUUAGUCACAUAUAAAAUACUAUUCAUAUUUUAUCAUCUAGUAAUAAUAAAAAUAUUAAUCGUAAAAAAAUUUCAAAUAAGACCAAUGGUCAAACGUUGGACACGGAAAAAC
RNAcentral lists this microRNA precursor (193 nucleotides) under Oryza brachyantha (malo sina). RNAcentral describes it as "MIR812 microRNA precursor family". It matches the Rfam family "MIR812 microRNA precursor family". Lineage: Eukaryota; Viridiplantae; Streptophyta; Magnoliopsida; Poales; Poaceae. The record is from Rfam by way of RNAcentral.